GAGACCUGUGCGUACAAUUGCCAGCGAACUCUGUGAUCGGGCACAAUGUACGGACUGCCUUGGAAACAAGGAGGAAGGUGCAGGCUACGAUAGGUCUGUAUGCCCCGAAUCUUCUGGGCUACACGCGCGCAACAAUGGUAGGGACAAUGGGAUGCAACACCGAAAGGUGAAGCUAAUCCUCUAAACCCUAUCUUAGUACAGAUUGAGGGCUGUAACUCGCCCUCAUGACGUCGGAAUCCCUAGUAAUCAGAAGUCAUCAUCUUCUGGUGAAUAU
This 274-nucleotide ribosomal RNA is filed under the name uncultured euryarchaeote. Its description in RNAcentral is "partial 16S ribosomal RNA". It matches the Rfam family "Archaeal small subunit ribosomal RNA", at positions 1047 to 1325 of the family's 1478-position model. The record is from RNAcentral. Lineage: Archaea; Methanobacteriati; Methanobacteriota.